Non-coding RNA from Lonchura striata (white-rumped munia), 516 nucleotides. Lineage: Eukaryota; Metazoa; Chordata; Aves; Passeriformes; Estrildidae. The record is from RefSeq and is a predicted model, not a curated record.
CUACUCAGAACUCUCGUCGUUUUCUAGAACAGGUCUAAAUCAUUAAACUGCACAGUGUUCUUUUUCUGUUAACAGCAGGUAUCAUUUUUGUCCUGACAAGAGGAGGCUCCACCUGCCGACUGCCCACCAACGCAUCCAGCUGUCUGCUUUGCAGAACGGGCAAGCUUGUUUUCAGAAUUUGAAAAACGGAGAUACAAAGGGAGCUGUGGCAGCUGAAUUCUCUUUCAUGUGUGUCCAGUCCAGGUGAAGCCCAGCAUAAUGUACUGUAAUAUGUGUUUCAAUUCUCUGAUACAAUGACCUGUGCAUCCUCUAAAUCCCCCACAGAAUGCGCAGACACAGACUGAUUGAGACAGAAGCUGAUGGAAGUAUCCUGGGUGAUUGCUGAGUUUAAGGUAAAUGAGCCCAAAACAAUUUUGUUAUUUAGGAUAAUUUGUGGAAGUCUGGUGCCUAAUAUAGUUUCGUAGCAAGGGUGGGUACAAUGCAAAAAUGAGUAUACAGUUCAGCUGUGUGUGUAUU